Molecule: non-coding RNA, 107 nt
Filed under: Vibrio cholerae O1 biovar El Tor str. N16961
Lineage: Bacteria; Pseudomonadati; Pseudomonadota; Gammaproteobacteria; Vibrionales; Vibrionaceae
Description: Vibrio RNA IGR5
Rfam family: Vibrio RNA IGR5
About the family: Identified by direct cloning an parallel sequencing experiments with 5S/tRNA depletion. Confirmed by Northern blot.
Source: Rfam by way of RNAcentral
AAGUACUUAAGCUGGUGCAUCCGUAUUUGUACCAAAAUUUGUACCAAAUCUUCAAAAAUCGUUACGCAAAAUUCAUAAAGCAUUGAAUUUAAAGCGUAUUUUUUCAC